GGUUUGAUCCUGGCUCAGAUUGAACGCUGGCGGCAUGCUUUACACAUGCAAGUCGAACGGCAGCACGAGUGCUUUGCACUUGGUGGCGAGUGGCGAACGGGUGAGUAAUACAUCGGAACGUGUCUUAAAGUGGGGGAUAACGCAUCGAAAGAUGUGCUAAUACCGCAUAAUCUCUAAGGAGAAAAGUAGGGGAUCGAAAGACCUUACGCUUUGGNAGCGGCCGAUGUCUGAUUAGCUAGUUGGUAGGGUAAAGGCUUACCAAGGCAACGAUCAGUAGUUGGUCUGAGAGGAUGGCCAACCACACUGGGACUGAGACACGGCCCAGA
This 326-nucleotide ribosomal RNA is filed under the name uncultured Nitrosomonas sp. Its description in RNAcentral is "bacterial SSU rRNA". It matches the Rfam family "Bacterial small subunit ribosomal RNA", at positions 10 to 335 of the family's 1533-position model. Lineage: Bacteria; Pseudomonadati; Pseudomonadota; Betaproteobacteria; Nitrosomonadales; Nitrosomonadaceae. The record is from RNAcentral.